UACAGAGGGGGCAAGCGUUGUCCGGACUUACUGGGCGUAAAGCGCAUGCAGGUGGCUGUGCAAGUAUGCUGUGAAAGCCUCGUGCUUAACACGGGGAGGCCAGUAUAGACUGCACGGCUCGAGGACUGCAGAGGGUAGGGGAAUUGCUGGUGUAGUGGUGAAAUGCGUAGAGAUCGGGAGGAAUACCUGUGGCGAAGGCGGCCUACUGGGCCGGAACUGACGCUGAGACGCGAAGGCGUGGGGAGCAAACGGG
Molecule: ribosomal RNA, 253 nt
Filed under: uncultured bacterium
Lineage: Bacteria
Description: partial 16S ribosomal RNA
Rfam family: Bacterial small subunit ribosomal RNA
Source: RNAcentral